UGAGUGCCUGUGAUGGUUUUAAAUAUACUUUGAGGAAAUACCAUGAAAAGAAUUUAAUCUGAGGCACUUA
Molecule: small nucleolar RNA, 70 nt
Organism: Telopea speciosissima
Lineage: Eukaryota; Viridiplantae; Streptophyta; Magnoliopsida; Proteales; Proteaceae
Source: RefSeq, a predicted model, not a curated record